This 3415-nucleotide ribosomal RNA is filed under the name Clostridioides difficile. RNAcentral's name for it is "bacterial LSU rRNA". It matches the Rfam family "Bacterial large subunit ribosomal RNA". Lineage: Bacteria; Bacillati; Bacillota; Clostridia; Peptostreptococcales; Peptostreptococcaceae. The record is from RNAcentral.
UCAAGUUAUUAAGGGUGCAGGGCGGAUGCCUUGGCACUAGGAGCCGAUGAAGGACGUGAUAAGCUGCGAUAAGCUUCGGGGAGUUGCACGUAAACUUUGAUCCGAAGAUUUCCGAAUGAGGAAACUCACUUAGAGUAAUGUCUAAGUAUCAUUAAGUGAAUACAUAGCUUAAUGAGGGGAACUCAGGGAACUGAAACAUCUAAGUACCUGAAGGAAGAGAAAGAAAUUCGAUUCCGUAAGUAGCGGCGAGCGAACGCGGAUUAGCCCAAACCAAUAAAGUUUUCUUUAUUGGGGUUGCGGACAUAUCAUAACGAAGAGGUAUCGUAAUUGAAGAGGUUUGGAAAGACCCACCACAGAAGGUAAUAGUCCUGUAUGUUAAACGAGAAGACUUCAGAUAUGAUCCAGAGUACCACGGGACACGUGAAACCCUGUGGGAAGCAGGAGGGACCACCCUCCAAGGCUAAAUACUACCUAGUGACCGAUAGCGUAUAGUACCGUGAGGGAAAGGUGAAAAGAACCCCGGGAGGGGAGUGAAAUAGAACCUGAAACCCUGCACUUACAAGCUGUGGAAGCACAUUUCUUGUGUGACCGCGUACUUUUUGUAGAACGGGCCAACGAGUUACGUUAAGUAGCAAGGUUAAGCACUUAAGGUGUGGAGCCGUAGCGAAAGCGAGUUUUAACUGAGCGUUCAGUUACUUGACGUAGACCCGAAACCGGGCGACCUACCCAUGAGCAGGAUGAAGCGAAAGUAAAAUUUCGUGGAGGUCCGAACCCACGAGCGUUGAAAAGCUCGGGGAUGACUUGUGGGUAGCGGUGAAAUUCCAAUCGAGCCCGGAGAUAGCUGGUUCUCCCCGAAAUAGCUUUAGGGCUAGCCUCAAGGUGAGAGAUACGGAGGUAGAGCACUGAAUGUCCUAGGGGGUAUUGCACCUACCGAAGACUAUCAAACUCCGAAUGCCGUCAUCUUAUACUUGGGAGUCAGACUGUGGGUGAUAAGAUUCAUAGUCGAAAGGGCAACAGCCCAGAUCGUCAGCUAAGGUCCCUAAAUGUAAGUUAAGUGGUAAAGGAUGUGGGAUUGCACAGACAACCAGGAUGUUGGCUUAGAAGCAGCCACUCAUUCAAAGAGUGCGUAAUAGCUCACUGGUCGAGUGAUCCUGCGCCGAAGAUUUCCGGGGCUAAAACUUACUACCGAAGCUACGGCAUCAGUAAUGAUGGGUAGGGGAGCUUCCCAUACGGGUUGAGAAGCGAAAGUAAAAUUUCGUGGAGGUCCGAACCCACGAGCGUUGAAAAGCUCGGGGAUGACUUGUGGGUAGCGGUGAAAUUCCAAUCGAGCCCGGAGAUAGCUGGUUCUCCCCGAAAUAGCUUUAGGGCUAGCCUCAAGGUGAGAGAUACGGAGGUAGAGCACUGAAUGUCCUAGGGGGUAUUGCACCUACCGAAGACUAUCAAACUCCGAAUGCCGUCAUCUUAUACUUGGGAGUCAGACUGUGGGUGAUAAGAUUCAUAGUCGAAAGGGCAACAGCCCAGAUCGUCAGCUAAGGUCCCUAAAUGUAAGUUAAGUGGUAAAGGAUGUGGGAUUGCACAGACAACCAGGAUGUUGGCUUAGAAGCAGCCACUCAUUCAAAGAGUGCGUAAUAGCUCACUGGUCGAGUGAUCCUGCGCCGAAGAUUUCCGGGGCUAAAACUUACUACCGAAGCUACGGCAUCAGUAAUGAUGGGUAGGGGAGCUUCCCAUACGGGUUGAAGCAUGACCGUAAGGACAUGUGGACAGUAUGGGAGUGAGAAUGUUGGCAUGAGUAGCGAGAUGUGGGUGAGAAUCCCACAGGCCGUAAACCCAAGGUUUCCAGGGGAAGGUUCGUCCGCCCUGGGUUAGUCGGGACCUAAGCUGAGGCCGAAAGGCGUAGGUGAUGGACAACAGGUUGAUAUUCCUGUACUACCGAUAACCGUUUGAGAGAAGGGAUGACACAGUAGGAUAAGCUAAGCACACUGUUGGUUAUGUGUGCCCAAGCAUUGAGGCAGUCAAAGUAGGCAAAUCCGCUUUGAUAAUGCUGGGAUGUGAUGGGGAGCGAAAUUUAGUAGCGAAGUAGCUGAUUUCACACUGUCAAGAAAAGUCUCUAUCGAGGUUAAAGGUACCCGUACCGCAAACCGACACAGGUGGGUGAGGAGAGUAUCCUAAGGCCAGCGAGAGAACUGUUGUUAAGGAACUCGGCAAAAUGACCCCGUAACUUAGGGAUAAGGGGUGCCACCAUCAGGUGGCCGCAGAGAAUAGGCCCAAGCGACUGUUUACCAAAAACAUAGGUUUCUGCUAAGUCGCAAGACGAUGUAUAGGAGCUGACGCCUGCCCGGUGCUGGAAGGUUAAGGGGAUCUGUUAGAGCAAUCGAAGCAGUGAACUUAAGCCCCAGUAAACGGCGGCCGUAACUAUAACGGUCCUAAGGUAGCGAAAUUCCUUGUCGGGUAAGUUCCGACCCGCACGAAAGGCGUAACGAUUUGGGCACUGUCUCAACAACAGACUCGGUGAAAUUGUAAUUCCGGUGAAGAUGCCGGAUACCUGCGACAGGACGGAAAGACCCCAUGGAGCUUUACUGUAGCUUGACAUUGGGUNNNNNNNNNNNNNNNNNNNNNUUGGUACUACAUGUACAGGAUAGGUGGGAGGCUUUGAAACCAGGACGCCAGUUUUGGCGGAGCCAUCCUUGGGAUACCACCCUUGUAGUACUGGGACUCUAACCAUAGGCCAUGAAUCUGGUCUUGGGACACUGUCAGGUGGGCAGUUUGACUGGGGCGGUCGCCUCCCAAAAGGUAACGGAGGCGCUCAAAGGUUCUCUCAGUACGGUCGGAAAUCGUACGUAGAGUGUAAAGGCAAAAGAGAGCUUGAUUGCAAGACAUACAGGUCGAGCAAGGAUGAAAAUCGGACUUAGUGAUCCGGUGGUUCUGCGUGGAAGGGCCAUCGCUCAACGGAUAAAAGCUACCCUGGGGAUAACAGGCUUAUCUCCCCCAAGAGUCCACAUCGACGGGGAGGUUUGGCACCUCGAUGUCGGCUCAUCACAUCCUGGGGCUGUAGUAGGUCCCAAGGGUUGGGCUGUUCGCCCAUUAAAGUGGUACGCGAGCUGGGUUCAGAACGUCGUGAGACAGUUCGGUCCCUAUCCGUCGCAGGCGUAGGAAAUUUGAGAAGACCUGUCCUUAGUACGAGAGGACCGGGAUGGACGUACCUCUGGUGUACCAGUUGUUCUGCCAAGGGCAUGGCUGGGUAGCUAUGUACGGAAUGGAUAAGCGCUGAAAGCAUCUAAGCGCGAAGCCAACUUCAAGAUAAGAUUUCCCACCGCAAGGGUAAGAUCCCAGAAAGACUAUCUGGUUGAUAGGUCGAAGGUGUAAGUGCAGCAAUGUAUUUAGCUUAUCGAUACUAAUAGGUCGAGGACUUGACCAA